RNAcentral lists this ribosomal RNA (394 nucleotides) under uncultured bacterium. RNAcentral's name for it is "partial 16S ribosomal RNA". It matches the Rfam family "Bacterial small subunit ribosomal RNA", at positions 523 to 918 of the family's 1533-position model. The record is from RNAcentral.
ACACGUAGGGGGCGAGCGUUGUUCGGAAUCAUUGGGCGUAAAGGGCGUGCAGGCGGUCGUGCAAGUCCGGCGUGAAAGACCCCGGCCCAACCGGGGGGACGCGCUGGAAACUGCAGGGCUUGAGUACAGGAGGGGAUGCCGGAAUUCCAGGUGUAGGGGUGAAAUCUGUAGAUAUCUGGAAGAACACCAAUGGCGAAGGCAGGCAUCUGGCCUUGUACUGACGCUGAGACGCGAAGGUGCGGGGAGCAAACAGGUUUAGAUGCCCUGGUAGUCCGCACAGUAAACGAUGUGCACCAGGUGGCGGGGGGUCGACCCCCGGUACCGUAGCUAACGCAUUAAGUGCACCGCCUGGGGAGUAUGCUCGCAAGGGUGAAACUCAAAUGAAUUGACGGGG